This 212-nucleotide long non-coding RNA is filed under the name Setaria italica (foxtail millet). RNAcentral describes it as "long non-coding RNA (SITA_LNC000115)". The record is from RNAcentral. Lineage: Eukaryota; Viridiplantae; Streptophyta; Magnoliopsida; Poales; Poaceae.
UAACUACCCCUGCAAAUCGAUCGCAUUUGGUUUAAACAAUAACAAAACGUUACUGGCUGAUCUUGAAUAUGGAUGGAUUCAUGUUCUUGACCCUGCUAGAUCAUGAAGACCGCACGUUGCAGGUUCUGACAUAACUGAACCUGGCCAAUGGUAACGCCUCAGUGGCAUAACAGAAAAUUGGUCCCAAAUUGAGGUGCAGUGCGGGAGCCCGG